RNAcentral lists this ribosomal RNA (301 nucleotides) under uncultured bacterium. RNAcentral's name for it is "partial 16S ribosomal RNA". It matches the Rfam family "Bacterial small subunit ribosomal RNA", at positions 509 to 807 of the family's 1533-position model. The record is from RNAcentral.
CAGUAGCCGCGGGAAUACGAAGGGGGCUAGCGUUGCUCGGAAUCACUGGGCGUAAAGGGUGCGUAGGCGGGUCUUUAAGUCAGGGGUGAAAUCCUGGAGCUCAACUCCAGAACUGCCCUUGAUACUGAAGAUCUUGAGUUCGGGAGAGGUGAGUGGAACUGCGAGUGUAGAGGUGAAAUUCGUAGAUAUUCGCAAGAACACCAGUGGCGAAGGCGGCUCACUGGCCCGAUACUGACGCUGAGGCACGAAAGCGUGGGGAGCAAACAGGAUUAGAUACCCGAGUAGUCCCUGUCUCUUAUAC